RNAcentral lists this long non-coding RNA (858 nucleotides) under Homo sapiens (human). RNAcentral describes it as "HSALNT0070119". The record is from RNAcentral. Lineage: Eukaryota; Metazoa; Chordata; Mammalia; Primates; Hominidae.
CUUUAUCCUAUGCUUUGAGCGAGACUGGGAAGCAAUGAGGUCAGAGGGACCUUGAGGCUUCUUCAGUUCUGCAUGUCAAAACACCAUAUUUUUGGGUAUUGGCUUGAGCCUUAACGUUAUCUAAUGAUGUUCUGUCUUCACCAAUCUAUCAUGAGAAUUUUUGUUAAUUUCUUUUAUAUUCCUCAUCUACUACAUGAGUCAAAUCAGUUCUCCACUAACGACUAAAGAUUAAAUGAUAGCAAUUCUUAUCUUACGACAUCAAAUGGUAAAUAAUCAGAGUAAUUUAUCAUCAAAUAUAACCCCAGGUAUUCCUCAAGGAGACAUACUGUCUGUAAUGGUAAAACUAACAUGAGAGACUAAGAAUAGAGUCAUCAAAACUGGUCCUUGCCCUUUUUUUGCCUUUUUAAAAUUCACCACUUUUAACUAUUUUGUGAUUGUUUGUGUGUUUAUGUGUUUAUUUGUGUGUGUAUGUGUGUGUUGGUGGUACUUUAUGGAUUCUGUAAUCGAAAAUUUAAAGUCUGGGAUAAUGAAUGUGUCAAAGCACAGGACGAAGUGAAACCUGGUGCUUCCUGACAAUAAAUGUUUAAUCCUCUUUCCUUGGAGAUUUCAGGAAACUCCAGUAAUUGAGGAAACAAGAAUAUGUAACCCUGGAGUACAACUUUUUAUGAACACUGUGUAGUUCAUGACACACAAGGGAUCUUUUAAAAGCAGACGUUGGUGUUCAGAAACAGAGAUCAGAAGCCAAAGAUGAAGAUGCCCCCAGGCAAGAAGCAGUUUAAAAAUAAAUGGGAAAAUUUCCUAAGAAGAGCAGAAAAAGAUUGUUCUGGCUCAUAAUUUUCAAGGUUUUUACUAAUUCUC